Molecule: long non-coding RNA, 1139 nt
Filed under: Numida meleagris (helmeted guineafowl)
Lineage: Eukaryota; Metazoa; Chordata; Aves; Galliformes; Numididae
Description: lncRNA (ENSNMEG00000015484.1)
Source: RNAcentral
CUGUUCCACUGAUCUAAUCACUAGUUAUUAAGAACAGUACAGAAACGAAGCAGACAUUCUGCACGCAAAAACCUUGUGAAGACUUUAACAGGGUGAAAGAGAUAUUGAAGAGACCUAAAGGAUCUCACUGCUCUUCACAUUCUGGAAGCUUUCCCAGCUAGGACGAGUACCAAUAGAACUACACUGGAGACUUUAUACUUGUCCUAACAGAUGAGAACAAUAGAUUCUUUAAUCACAGGGGAUACAAAUAUUUACUGUUAAUAGCAACUUCCAGGGAAAGUACGCAUCUCAGUUAAGAUACACAACUUAAAAAAAAAAAAAAGUUCUAUUCUUACAAUAUUUUUUUCUUGUCCUCCAGACUGCUGAAGUGAACUGUUUCAGCAGUGGCUGGUGUUGCCUGGCCUUGCAGACCCCUGCACACACCAGGGAGGUUUUCCUGUGGGGGGGGAGACUUAACACCAAAGAGCUCAACAGACUCUGGUAGAUCUUUUCUCUAUGAGGCCUCCGGAGUCUGGAGACAGGGCUAAGGUGUAAACAGAAUACUCUUUAGUAUGCACAGCUAAUGUGGUCACUUCUGGGACAGUUAAGCAACCCUUUGUUUAUCUACAUUGUUGUGAAGAACUUAAGGAUAAUUAACCGUGAGUGGAUUUACUGCUUGAGUGAAGGAUAUAUAAGGUGUGUGUAAAACACAAUAAAGAGAACUUGCUAUUCUGAAAACUUGCUAUUCUGAUGCCACACUGACUGGGGGAAUUCUGUAACGGGACCAAGCGCCGACAUUUUCCCUCAGCAAAUGCUAUUGCUCAACAUUCCAUAGGAUGUGGUGGAAAGGAAGGAUGAGGAUCAAGCUUCCUGACCCUCCUCAAAAAUUAGUUCCUCAGGGAUAGGAAUCACAACACAUGAGGGCAUCAAAUCACAGGUGCCCUCAGUGUGGGCAAGCAAGGUUGCAGAAAGCUCAGUCAUAACUUUCGGGUGAAGCUGGGCCUAGUCCUAUGGCUCCUGUGGAGCCAACAGAAAUAUGUGCUGCUGGGCCUCUUCUGUGCAAAGCCAGGAGGUGCUACCAUGCUGUAAGACUACUGCAACCCCACUUGAAGCUUAUUUUUUUUCCAGGGCAACAGUGGAAGUGUUUUCAUGCGGCAUAG